AUGGAUACCGAAUGGGAGCUAAAAUUUCCUCUGGUAACCGUGCGAGCCCUAGAGCGUAUUGAGGCUUUAUCGGAUCAUGCACCCAUCAUUCUGGAUUCUAAUUCUACGAAACCAGUUGCCCGAUGCCCUUUCAAAUUUGAAUUGGGUUGGAUGCAUAGGGAGGGAUUUGUAGACAUGAUCAAGAAUAUUUGGGAGAGGCCCGUUGUUGGUCGUACACCUAUUCAGAGAUGGAACUUUAAAAUAAGGGCCAUGAGGCAACACCUCUCUGGAUGGGCAAAACAUACCAACGGGAUUUAUAAAAAAGAAAAACAACGACUCUCUGCCAUUAUUGAUGACCUCGACAAAAUUGCAGAGAUGCGCAUCUUAUCUCAACAAGAGAUUGAAUUAAAAAAUCAAUCUAAUGAGAAGAUUGCCCGUCUUCUGCGAGAAGAGGAGAUCAAAUACUACCAGAUAUCCAAAGCCGAUUUCAUUUUGAUGGGUGAUAGUAAUACAAGAUACUUCCAAUUGGUCGCUAAUGGGCGGCAUAGGAAGAAAUGUAUUUAUAGUAUCCAACAAGAUGAGGGGCGUAUCGAAGGUCAAGAGGAGCUCAAAAAGUAUAUCACCGACUACUACAAAUCUUUGUUCGGAGCGCCGGCUGAAGGGAAUUUCACCCUUGAUGAGACCCAAAUAGAUGACAUUCCACAAGUCACGACAGAAGAAAAUGAUAUUUUGAUGGCACCAUUCUCGGAAGAGGAGGUGAGAGCUGCAAUGUUCCAAAUGGAACAUAACAAAGCUCCACGCCCAGAUGGUUUCCCCACAGAAUUCUAUCAGAAUUUCUGGGAUAUCAUCAAGGCUGACCUUAUGGAGUUGUUCAAUUGUCUUCAUGCCGACCGAACAUUGUCGAGAUUGUCUUGUUUUGGCUUAAUUUUGGCGAGAUUGUCUUGUUGCCAAAGAUUAAGGAGGCUGAACGGAUCCAACAGUUUAGACCCAUAUGCCUCCUUAAUGUUAGUUUCAAGAUUUUCACCAAAGUGA
RNAcentral lists this ribosomal RNA (1011 nucleotides) under Triticum aestivum (bread wheat). Its description in RNAcentral is "partial small subunit ribosomal RNA". The record is from RNAcentral. Lineage: Eukaryota; Viridiplantae; Streptophyta; Magnoliopsida; Poales; Poaceae.